Molecule: ribosomal RNA, 433 nt
Filed under: uncultured bacterium
Lineage: Bacteria
Description: partial 16S ribosomal RNA
Rfam family: Bacterial small subunit ribosomal RNA
Source: RNAcentral
AACGAACGCUGGCGGCAUGCCUAACACAUGCAAGUCGUACGAGACCUUCGGGUCUAGUGGCGCACGGGUGCGUAACGCGUGGGAACCUGCCCUUAGGUUCGGAAUAACUCCCCGAAAGGGGUGCUAAUACCGGAUAAUGUCUUCGGACCAAAGAUUUAUCGCCUUUGGAUGGGCCCGCGUUGGAUUAGCUAGUUGGUAGGGUAAAAGCCUACCAAGGCGACGAUCCAUAGCUGGUCUGAGAGGAUGAUCAGCCACACUGGGACUGAGACACGGCCCAGACUCCUACGGGAGGCAGCAGUGGGGAAUAUUGGACAAUGGGCGAAAGCCUGAUCCAGCAAUGCCGCGUGAGUGAUGAAGGCCUUAGGGUUGUAAAGCUCUUUUACCCGGGAUGAUAAUGACAGUACCGGGAGAAUAAGCGCCGGCUAACUCCGUG